RNAcentral lists this ribosomal RNA (253 nucleotides) under uncultured bacterium. RNAcentral describes it as "partial 16S ribosomal RNA". It matches the Rfam family "Bacterial small subunit ribosomal RNA", at positions 524 to 776 of the family's 1533-position model. The record is from RNAcentral.
UACGUAGGGGGCAAGCGUUGUCCGGAAUCAUUGGGCGUAAAGAGCGCGUAGGCGGCCCUGUAAGUCCGCUGUGAAAGUCAAGGGCUCAACCCUUGAAUGCCGGUGGAUACUGCAGGGCUAGAGUCCGGAAGAGGCGAGUGGAAUUCCUGGUGUAGCGGUGAAAUGCGCAGAUAUCAGGAAGAACACCCGUGGCGAAGGCGGCUCUCUGGGACGGUACUGACGCUGAGACGCGAAAGCGUGGGGAGCGAACAGG